This 203-nucleotide long non-coding RNA is filed under the name Capsicum annuum. RNAcentral describes it as "long non-coding RNA (CANN_LNC011357)". The record is from RNAcentral. Lineage: Eukaryota; Viridiplantae; Streptophyta; Magnoliopsida; Solanales; Solanaceae.
AUAUCUUGGCUCCUGUUUGUGCGGUGUAUGAGCUGAGGUACCUGUGCCUGCAGCAUGAAAUACAGGUCCCCCAUGGGGGACGUCAGUACGAAAUAUGUACUGAGUAUGUAAAGCUGUAGAUAAUCACAUAUGAUAUAGGAGCUCAAUAGAAAUCAAAAACAAGUGAAUAAAUCGUAAUAGGAGUGGACCACACUUACUAGAAC